UACGUAGGGACCAAGCGUUGUUCGGAUUUACUGGGCGUAAAGGGCGCGUAGGCGGCUUGACAAGUCACUUGUGAAAUCUCCGGGCUUAACUCGGAACGGCCAAGUGAAACUGUCAUGCUAGAGUGCAGAAGGGGCAAUCGGAAUUCUUGGUGUAGCGGUGAAAUGCGUAGAUAUCAAGAGGAACACCUGAGGUGAAGACGGGUUGCCGGGCUGACACUGACGCUGAGGCGCGAAAGCCAGGGGAGCAAACGGG
This 253-nucleotide ribosomal RNA is filed under the name uncultured bacterium. RNAcentral's name for it is "partial 16S ribosomal RNA". It matches the Rfam family "Bacterial small subunit ribosomal RNA", at positions 524 to 776 of the family's 1533-position model. The record is from RNAcentral.